Molecule: ribosomal RNA, 544 nt
Filed under: uncultured bacterium
Lineage: Bacteria
Description: bacterial SSU rRNA
Rfam family: Bacterial small subunit ribosomal RNA
Source: RNAcentral
CCUGAUCCAGCAGUGCCGCGUGCAGGAAGAAGGCCUUCGGGUUGUAAACUGCUUUUGUACGGAACGAAACGGUGCUCUUUAAUAAAGAGUGCUAAUGACGGUACCGUAAGAAUAAGCACCGGCUAACUACGUGCCAGCAGCCGCGGUAAUACGUAGGGUGCGAGCGUUAAUCGGAAUUACUGGGCGUAAAGCGUGCGCAGGCGGUUAUAUAAGACAGUUGUGAAAUCCCUGGGCUCAACCUAGGAAUUGCAUCUGUGACUGUAUAGCUAGAGUACGGUAGAGGGGGAUGGAAUUCCGCGUGUAGCAGUGAAAUGCGUAGAUAUGCGGAGGAACACCGAUGGCGAAGGCAAUCCCCUGGACCUGUACUGACGCUCAUGCACGAAAGCGUGGGGAGCAAACAGGAUUAGAUACCCUGGUAGUCCACGCCCUAAACGAUGUCAACUGGUUGUUGGGUGCAUUAGUACUCAGUAACGAAGCUAACGCGUGAAGUUGACCGCCUGGGGAGUACGGCCGCAAGGUUGAAACUCAAAUGAAUUGACGGGGA